GUAGGUUAGUGAAGAUCUCCCCCGCCCUCUCCGUCACGCGGCAGCUAACAGUAUUCUAGGUGAACCUGCGGAAGGAUCAUUACCGAGCGAGGGUCCCAGCGGCCCGACCUCCCACCCCAUGUGUACCCUCCACGUUGCUUUGGCGGGCGGCCUCGGCCCCCGCCAGAGACCCCACCGGAGACGGUGGCAGCAAACCCUUCAAUUGUGAAGUCUGAGAAGAUAUGAAAUGACCAAAACUUUCAACAACGGA
This 250-nucleotide unclassified non-coding RNA is filed under the name plant metagenome. RNAcentral describes it as "partial contains small subunit ribosomal RNA, internal transcribed spacer 1, and 5.8S ribosomal RNA". The record is from RNAcentral.